AUUUCUAAAACUACUCUCUAAAAUUACUCACAGACCCUUCCACUGUUGUCCAAUAUCAAAAUCUAAUGGACAAAUUAAAGAAAUUUUGACCCAGAACCCAAGGUCCUUCACAUUUAUGCAAUUGAAUCACUUUGCUUAAACAGCUCUAGUCACACCUUCCUGCAUGUGACUUGCACAGCUUCCUUUAACACUUCCUGUAAACACUCAUCUAAUGUUUAGACUUCC
Pelobates cultripes (western spadefoot toad) is the source of this 225-nucleotide non-coding RNA. NCBI's taxonomy places the organism in Eukaryota, Metazoa, Chordata, Amphibia, Anura, Pelobatidae. The record is from the annotation of a GenBank genome assembly.